RNAcentral lists this ribosomal RNA (416 nucleotides) under uncultured prokaryote. RNAcentral's name for it is "bacterial SSU rRNA". It matches the Rfam family "Bacterial small subunit ribosomal RNA", at positions 355 to 776 of the family's 1533-position model. The record is from RNAcentral. RNAcentral also lists the same sequence under 1 other name.
UGGGGAAUAUUGGGCAAUGGGGGCAACCCUGACCCAGCAACGCCGCGUGAAGGAUGAAGGCCCUCGGGUUGUAAACUUCUGUUGGAUGGGAAAAAAAGCCGCAAGGUCUUGAUGGUACCAUUCGAGUAAGCACCGGCUAACUACGUGCCAGCAGCCGCGGUAAUACGUAGGGUGCAAGCGUUGUUCGGAAUCACUGGGCGUAAAGAGAGCGUAGGCGGGAUUGUAAGUUAGGAGUUUAAUGCAUGGGCUUAACCCAUGAUCUGCUUUUAAUACUGCAGUUCUUGAGUAUGGGAGAGGGUGAUGGAAUUCCAGGUGUAGCGGUGGAAUGCGUAGAUAUCUGGAAGAACACCAGUAGCGAAGGCGGUCGCCUGGCCCAAUACUGACGCUGAGGCUCGAAAGCUAGGGGAGCAAACAGG